RNAcentral lists this ribosomal RNA (276 nucleotides) under Rhachidelus brazili. Its description in RNAcentral is "partial small subunit ribosomal RNA". The record is from RNAcentral. Lineage: Eukaryota; Metazoa; Chordata; Lepidosauria; Squamata; Dipsadidae.
AAAGACUUGACGGUACUUCACAACACCCUAGAGGAGCCUGUCUAAUAACCGAUACCCCACGAUUAACCCCACCCGUUCUAGCCCACAGUCUAUAUACCGCCGUCGCCAGCUUACCUUGUGAAAGAAAUAGAGUGAGCAAAAUAAAUUACACGACAGGUCAAGGUGUAGCUAACGAACGGGCAAAGAUGGGCUACAUUUUCUAACACAGAAAACACGAAUAAACAUGAAAUCAAAACUGAAGGCGGAUUUAGCAGUAAGAUAAAAAUAGAAUGCUUA